AAUUAUUUAAUAGCCGCAAUUCGUGCUAAGGUAGUAUAAUUAUUUGUCUUUUAAAUGGAGAACAGAACAAAAGAUUUAACAUUUCAACUUGUUUAUUUAUUUUAAUAAUAAAAAUUUUUUUAAGUGUAAAAAAACACUUAUCUUUUAGAAAGACGACAAGACCCUAUUGAACUUAACUUCAGUUAAACUGGGGCAGUAAAUUAAUUAUAAUUUUAAUUUUUUAAUAAUAAUAAUAAUCUAUUCAAAAUAAAUUAUUCAGUUACCAUAGGGAUAACAGCGCAAUUAUUUUUUAGAGCCCUUAUCUAAAAAAUAGUUUACGACCUCGAUGUUGAAUUAAUAACCUUAUUUAAGCAAAUUUAAAAAAAGGAAGUCUGUUCGACUUUUAAAUAAUUACAUGAUUUGAGUUCAGACCGGUAUAAGCCAGGUCGGUUUCCAUCUUCUUCAAUAUCUUUACAGUACGAAAGGACCUAAAAAUUUUUUAUUAAUUAAUUGGCAGAAAAAUGCAUUAGAAUUAGAAUCUAAUAAAACUUAAA
RNAcentral lists this ribosomal RNA (533 nucleotides) under Compsodecta peckhami. Its description in RNAcentral is "partial 16S ribosomal RNA". The stretch from base 147 to 441 matches the Rfam family "Bacterial large subunit ribosomal RNA", at positions 2074 to 2646 of the family's 2925-position model. Lineage: Eukaryota; Metazoa; Arthropoda; Arachnida; Araneae; Salticidae. The record is from RNAcentral.